This 496-nucleotide ribosomal RNA is filed under the name uncultured bacterium. RNAcentral's name for it is "partial 16S ribosomal RNA". It matches the Rfam family "Bacterial small subunit ribosomal RNA", at positions 28 to 506 of the family's 1533-position model. The record is from RNAcentral.
GAUGAACGCUGGCGGCGUGCCUAAUACAUGCAAGUCGAGCGAACAGACGAGGAGCUUGCUCCUCUGACGUUAGCGGCGGACGGGUGAGUAACACGUGGAUAACCUACCUAUAAGACUGGGAUAACUUCGGGAAACCGGAGCUAAUACCGGAUAAUAUAUUGAACCGCAUGGUUCAAUAGUGAAAGACGGUUUUGCUGUCGCUUAUAGAUGGAUCCGCGCCGCAUUAGCUAGUUGGUAAGGUAACGGCUUACCAAGGCAACGAUGCGUAGCCGACCUGAGAGGGUGAUCGGCCACACUGGAACUGAGACACGGUCCAGACUCCUACGGGAGGCAGCAGUAGGGAAUCUUCCGCAAUGGGCGAAAGCCUGACGGAGCAACGCCGCGUGAGUGAUGAAGGUCUUCGGAUCGUAAAACUCUGUUAUUAGGGAAGAACAAAUGUGUAAGUAACUAUGCACGUCUUGACGGUACCUAAUCAGAAAGCCACGGCUAACUACGU